This 473-nucleotide ribosomal RNA is filed under the name uncultured bacterium. Its description in RNAcentral is "SSU rRNA". It matches the Rfam family "Bacterial small subunit ribosomal RNA", at positions 26 to 507 of the family's 1533-position model. The record is from RNAcentral.
AGGAUGAACGCUGGCGGCGUGCCUAACACAUGCAAGUCGAACGCUCUCCAUUCGGUAGCAAUACUGAUGAAGAGGGAGUGGCGAACGGGUGAGUACCACGUGAGCAACCUGCCCCGAAGACUGGGACAACACCGGGAAACCGGUGCUAAUACCGGAUAUCCCUAUCGGAUCGCAUGAUCUGAUAAGGAAAUGGAUUCCGCUUCGGGAGGGGCUCGCGGCCUAUCAGCUAGUUGGUGAGGUAAUAGCUCACCAAGGCAUCGACGGGUAGCUGGUCUGAGAGGACGAUCAGCCACACUGGGACUGAGACACGGCCCAGACUCCUACGGGAGGCAGCAGUGGGGAAUCUUGCGCAAUGGGCGAAAGCCUGACGCAGCAACGCCGCGUGGAGGACGAAUGCUUUCUGAGUUGUAAACUCCUUUCAGCAGGGACGAUUGUGACGGUACCUGCAGAAGAAGCACCGGCCAACGUACGCG